AACCCACUGAGCAAGGCCAGGGAUCGAACCCACAACCUCACGGUUCCUUGUCGGAUUCGUUAACCACUGCGCCACCAACGGGAACUACUGCUAAGCUUUUCUUUACACAGGAAGAUGAUUAAGCUGUUUGAGACUUAAGGGCAGGGAUUCCCUCUGAGGUCAUUAAGAGAACCUGUGCAUAAAGAAGUAGCUAGGAGUUCCCGUUGUGGCUCAGUGGUUAACGAAUCCAUGAGGUUGAGGGUUCGUUAACCACUGAACCAUGACAGGAACUCCAACACUUUUAUUCUUUAAUAAACUAAUUUACAGUUUCACCUCAUUAACAUCCUUACCAGAUUUCUAAUAUUAAGGUUAAAAGGGUUCCUAGAAAUGAAUCAGAGGAUAGAAUUCUGACAUGGCAGCCUGAGAAGCUCCAUGGACUUGAUCCCUAAAGAAACAAAAAAAC
Molecule: non-coding RNA, 442 nt
Organism: Sus scrofa (pig)
Lineage: Eukaryota; Metazoa; Chordata; Mammalia; Artiodactyla; Suidae
Source: RefSeq, a predicted model, not a curated record